UAAAGCUACAAAGAGCUAAUGGGGAAUGCCUUGGUACUGACAGCCGACGAAGGACGUGUAAAGCUGCGAUAAGCCACGGGGAACUGCUAAAAGGUCUUGAUCCGUGGAAAUCCGAAUGGGGAAACCCUCCAGAGUUAAAACUUUGGAACCCGUAACUGAAUACAUAGGUUGCGCGGAGGAAAGCCUGUGAACUGAAACAUCUUAGUAACAGGACGAAGAGAAAAUAACCCAAUGAUUCCGAGAGUAGCGGCGAGCGAAAUUGGAAGAGCCUAAAUUGUGUGUACGUGAUAGCCUGCAAGCGUUGUGCACAUGAGGUUGUGGGACUUGCAUCAUAUUUUGCAGAAUAUGGAUUGAGUUACAAAAUUAUUUAUUAGUUAAAGUCAACUGGGAAGUUGCGCCAUAGAGAGUGAUAGCCUCGUAAACGACAAUAAAUAAUCUCAAGUAAGUAUCCCGAGUAAGGCGGGGCACGUGAAACCCUGUCUGAAUCCACCGGGACCAUCCGGUAAGGCUAAAUACUAGUCAGUGACCGAUAGUGAACGAGUACAGUGAUGGAAAGGCGAAAAGAACAGUGAGAAGCUGAGUGAAAUAGACCCUGAAACCGUUAGCUUACAACCAGUCAGAGCACAAUUAAUUGUGUGAUGGCGUGCCUGUUGAAGAAUGAGCCGGCGAGUUAUUUUUUGUUGCGAGGUUAAGGAGAUCAUAUCCGGAGCCACAGGGAAACCGAGUCUGAAUAGGGCGUUAAGUAACAGGAAAUAGACCCGAACCUUGGUGAUCUAACCUUGACCAGGAUGAAGCGUGGGUAACACUACGUGGAGGUCCGAACCAACCGAUGUUGAAAAAUCGGUGGAUGAGUUGAGGUUAGGGGUGAAAUGCCAAUCGAACCAAGAGCUAGCUGGUUCUCCCCGAAAUGCGUUUAGGCACAGCGUUGGAUUUAUCUUGCAGGAGGUAGAGCACUGGUUUUGUGCGGGCGUCGAAAUGAUGUACCAAACAAUGUCAAACUCCGAAUACCUGUAAUGUCAUUAUCCAGCAGUGAGGCUAUGAGUGAUAAGAUCCAUGGCCAAGAGGGAAACAGCCCAGAACGCCAGUUAAGGUCCCUAAUAUAUGCUAAGUGGUUAAGGAGGUAGAGUUACUGAGACAACCAGGAGGUUGGCUUAGAAGCAGCCAUCCCUUGAAAGAGUGCGUAAUAGCUCACUGGUCAAGUGACUCCGCGCCGAAAAUACACCGGGACUAAAGCAUAUAACCGAAGCUGCGUCAUAUAGUUUACUAUAUGGGUAGGGGAGCGUACUGUAGUAAGACGAAGCUAGAGUGAAAACACUAGUGGAUGAGGCAGUAGUGAGAAUGUCGGCAUAAGUAGCGAAAACAUUGGUGAGAAUCCAAUGCACCGAAAACCUAAGGUUUCCCACGGCAGGCUCGUCCGCGUGGGGUUAGUCGGAUCCUAAGCUCAGGCCAAACGGCGUAGGCGAUGGACAAUAGGUUGAUAUUCCUAUACUAUCUGAUAAUCGUUAUCAGAAGCGGAGGGACGCAAGAGGAUAAGCACGCAGUCGACUGGAAGAGACUGUAUAAGCGUGUAGCUAGGUUUGACAGGAAAAUCCGUCAAAUCGUUAAUGUGAGGCGUGAUGUGGAGAGUCUACGGACUCGAAGGUGUUGACUCCAAAUUGCCAAGAAAAUCUUCGCUCUCGAGAUUAUUGGGUAUCCGUACCGUAAACCGCCACAGGUAGGUUGGUAGAAAAUACUAAGGUGCGCGAGACAACUCUCGCUAAGGAACUCGGCAAAAUCACCUCGUAACUUCGGGAGAAGAGGUACCCUGGUAGCGUGAAGCGAUUUACUCGUGAAGCGUGAUAGGGUCGCAGUGAAUAGGCCCAAGCGACUGUUUACCAAAAACACAGGUCUCUGCUAAGUCGAUCAAGACGAUGUAUAGGGGCUGACGCCUGCCCGGUGUCGGAAGGUUACGCGGAAAUGUUAGAAGCAAUUCAAAGCAUCGAAGCUAAGCCCCGAUGAACGGCGGCCGUAACUAUAACGGUCCUAAGGUAGCGAAAUUCCUUGUCAGGUA
Molecule: ribosomal RNA, 2050 nt
Filed under: human gut metagenome
Description: bacterial LSU rRNA
Rfam family: Bacterial large subunit ribosomal RNA
Source: RNAcentral